This is a long non-coding RNA of Rana temporaria (common frog), 4146 nucleotides long. RefSeq lists it as uncharacterized. NCBI's taxonomy places the organism in Eukaryota, Metazoa, Chordata, Amphibia, Anura, Ranidae. The record is from RefSeq and is a predicted model, not a curated record. The transcript is spliced from 2 exons.
AUUCACAGCUGCACUCGAUUUUACACUCCAGUUUAAAUAAAUUAACCCAUUGUGGCCAUCAAGUGAUUUUGGGGCCACAAUUACUAACAUGCAUAGUCAGGGAUUUUUAAAAUAAUAAUAUUUCAUCAGCUAAACUGUCCAAAGCUGGUUGGAGUACUUGAGAGCAGUCAUAAUGAUGAUAUAAUGACAUAACAGUUUUAACUUCACAACUUUGCAUUCUCAUAAAAUUUCAUAAAAACUUGUGCAACACUUCCAUGCUUACAUCUGCAAUGUUAAUUGGCUGGUGUUUCCCACUAGAAGCUCCAACCAAUCAGCACCUUUAACUGGGCAGUCAUUCCAAGGCUAACAUUUCCCAGAUGUGUUGCUAGCCUUCCUAUAGCAACCCAUUAGUUGCCAACGUGGGCUGUGUUGUACAGGCCUAAUCCAGCCUCAUGAAUCAAUGAGAGCAAGCCAAGAACCUCCAAGCAGUGGUGGCAUCUGAAUUGCUCUGUGAAAACAGCUGAUCGGUAAGAGCCUCUUUUUAUAUUUCCCUUAUUUAUAUUGCGUUCACAUAUUAUACAGCACGUUACAGAGUACAAAGAGCUGUUUACACCAGUCCCAGUUCUAAAGGAACACUCACUUUAUCAUCUACACUCUAAGUGGGGUUAAUGUGGAAGGAAUCCAAUUCACUUUACACUAUGUUUUUAGAUUGUGGGAGGAAAACUAAAGCCCCCCAAGGUUCAAAGAGCAAACAUAUAACUCCAUACAGAUCUCAAGCUGCAGAUAUCGACCCAGAGCUAUAAGAUCGACACUAUGAAGUUUCCACCUUUCAAUGUGAAAAGUGGAAAUCUCUGUAGAGUAAAAUGUUCCCAUGAAAAGUGGGGUUCGCCAUUGUUGAUCUUUGAAAAAAGCUAGUUGCCUGGCUGUUAUGAUGAUCCUCUGACUUCAGUAUUUUCUGAGUCAGGAACAUUACAGUAGAGACAAAAAAACGACUUAUCGGUAUUAAUGAGUAUUGAGCCCAGAGAGUCAGCAUGACAUCCAGGUAGCUGUCACUCAUAGAAAGAGAAGUCUGCAGUAGCAGCUUACAUGUUUCUUUCAAGAAAACCUUCCUAUAAAUCUACUCCUAAGGAUGCAUUUUUGGUGAAAUCUAUUGAAAUUGCAGCCACACGUCUUAUACCAUGCUUACUUGUAUCUCAUACCUUUUUUUAAUUUGCAAAAAUCAUGUGCACAUCUUUUUUGGUUAUCACUUUCUUUAGCCCCUUUCUUCCUUGAAAUGCCUUUAUCUGAUGAGAAUAAACUCACUCCCAUAAUGCAUUGAGGCUUUCUCUUUCCUGGCUGUCUUGAAUCAAACUCUCACUUUAAAAGUACAGGGUUUUAUAUUGCUUAAGUGUAAUGAAUUCAGAAGCCUAUUUGUCUCCUGACUUAGCACUUCAGACAGAUUUUUUUUGUAUUUCUUUGAGUAUAAACCCUAGGCUGCAUCACCAAAAGGAAACACGUGUCCAGCCAGAUGUUGUAGAUAUAAAAACUCCCAGUGGAUCUUUCAGGGCAUGCUAGGAGCUCCUGUGUUCUGGGUUUCUUUGAAUGUUUGUCAGAAAUGGUUUGGCAGGGGGAGAGUUAAAACUUUUAACUUGCAAAGACACCUUCAGCCCUGAGAACUUGGAUUGAUCCACAACAAAUACAUUUUGUUAGAUAGGCUGCCAGUGGUGUUAACCCCUUCCUGGCUGGGUAGUACUGCUGUUCCGCAUUAAACAGACGCACAAAGAGACAACUUAUAUAAAGAGAAGACAUGCAUUCCAGCUUGUUAAAAGGACAUUCUGGCUGAUGCCAUGUUGUUUUUAAACAAUGCAAAAGUGCAGACAUUAGCGAUUUAUACUGUAAACAUUAGAUUAAUGUAACUUUCAUCAGCUGCAAUGGGAAGUUCAUACAAGGCACCAUUUUUUUAUGGCUAUCUGCAGCCUUGAACCCAUCUUCGGCCGCCACUGCCAAAUCUGCCUUUAUAUCACUUCUGCUGUCCAGCAGCUACUGGCUACUGACACAAUGCUGUCUGUGAGAGUUCAUUGACCAGCAAAUACCAGGUGUGUAUAGGGCUUUUUUUUUUACUGGUUAAUAGUUGUAAAGCUAAUAUUAGUCAGAGGUAGAUCUCUGAAUGACUGGUAAUCAGUUAUGUGCCACUCUCAAGUUGCUUGCUGACCAGUGGCAGAAGAAACAGAAACCAUGUAUCUGCAUGAACUUCCCCCUUUAUUUGUUUGCAUAUAAAUAAGUUCAAAGGGGAGAUGAAAAAAAAAAGAGGUAAAAUACAACAAAUCUUUAAUAUCUGCAGGGGCAAUUUGACCAAUUAUCUGUCUAGAAACACCCAAAAUGCCUGCCUAGGCACUAAUUGGGCAUUCUGGAUUUUGUGUUUUUUUUUUUUUUUUUUCUGUAGUUGGGGAGCUCUCGUUGCAGGUGCUGUUGUCUUGACAUCAGUUAUGUAUGAUUGAAUUUUUUUUUUCUGAAGAGUGAGUACAUGUGCAAAUCAUGGAUUUUUGUACCUUUGCUGCCCUUUGAUUAUCAGAAAAAUAAAUAUUCAAUGGUUUUAUUUUUUUUAUUGAGGCUGAAGCUGAAUACUCUUCCCCAAGAAGAUUUCCCCAAGAACAGAGCUUUCCUUUCAUUUGUUUCCAAUUGUUUAUAGACUGUGUAUUGUGUCCUGCUGCUACAAUAUUCUAUAAAUUAAAGGCAACAAGUGAAUCAGACCCUUCAUAUUGCCAAGGUAAGUUUCCAAAGCCAGGAACUCUCAUGCACAGACAGCUCUCUGUAGGAGUCCCUAAAAUACACUGGCAGGUUAAUUGAGCCUAUCAUUAUCUAUCCAAAAGUGGGAUAUCACUUUUUUGUGGAUGUAGUCUUUCAAUGGGCAAUGUCUGAGAAUUAAACCGUUUGAUUUGGUUGUGCUUCUCAUUCUAGACCUUAUGCUUACUUUGCUGACUAAUCCAUGUAUACUGUGUGCACCCGAGCACCAUUUAACUUUGCGGACUGUUACCUUUCUGACUGUUACCAUGGCAACAACAUCUCUUGUGUCGCGAGGAGGGAGCCUAGCAUCGGAUUAGUGUCUGCCGUCUAUUGUGUUUCUGUGCUCUUUUGAUAUAUGUGGAUAUGAGUGAUUGAGCCUAUAAUAAAACAAAUGUAAAAUAUUUAGAUAUGUUGAACCCCCUUAGGUGGGAUGCAUAUUAAAUUAUUUUUUUUAUAUUCAAAGAGUGGAUUUAAAGGGGUCAAGAAACGUCAGCUGCAAAGUGGAUUAUUAAGAAUAAAGAUUUGAUUAACAUUAAAAGGUUUCUGGACAAACUUGUGUGUCUUCUUGCCAUUACUUCCUCAUGGGUUGCCAAAGUGACCCUGGAAACCUGCUUGGCAUUGAGGAAGAAGUUGUGUGAAGUGGUGAUGCCUGAGCCAAAGGAAGAGAUGUGGGAAGCAAUUGCAGACGAGUUUUGGGAGAAGAUGCAGUUUCCCAUUUGCAUAGGAGCCCUCGACAUCAAGCAUAUCAUGUUGAAAAAGCCUUCCCAGUCCGUUUCUCUGUACUUCAAUUACAAAAAAUGAUUUUUCCAUCAUCAUCUUAGCAUUGUCUGAUGCAAGCAAGCCUCCACUUCAUAGGUGUGGCUGUCGGAGCCUACAGCCGCCAAGGGGAUGCAGGCAUCUUCAGAGAGUCUGCCAUGGAACAUCACCUAUAUGAAGGACACGUCAACAUUUCUCCACCCAGGCCUAAACCAUGCACAGCAGAGUCUUCCAAUCGUGUUCAUGGUGGAUUAGACUUUUGGACUGGUUGAGAAUCGAAUGCGGCCAUGAAGUGGUUACAGAAUAAGCCACAAGCAGAACAUUUUUAAAUAUCAUCUCAGCCGGGUUGUUGAAUGCACAUUUGGCGUCUACACAACAAAGUGGCGACUACUCCUGUUGCAUGUAAAAAAAAGUGACUAGUCAUACCGGCCUGCUGUGUCUUUAAUAACUUUCUUUGUAAAAAAGAAGAGAUUAUGGACUUGCAUUCCACUGCCAGGGUCAUGACCAUUUGCAAGCAGUUUGUGGGUUUCUAUGUUUCACCUGAAGGUGAAGUGUCCUGGCAGGAUCAAUAUGUGUAAUGUCAUAUGUUGGCUUUACAUUUUCGCAGCUUACCAUCCUCCAAAUAAAAAAAUAUAUAUAUAUUUUUUU